RNAcentral lists this ribosomal RNA (1491 nucleotides) under metagenome. RNAcentral describes it as "bacterial SSU rRNA". It matches the Rfam family "Bacterial small subunit ribosomal RNA". The record is from RNAcentral.
AGAGUUUGAUCCUGGCUCAGAUUGAACGCUGGCGGCAUGCCUUACACAUGCAAGUCGAACGGCAGCACGAGAGCUUGCUCUUGGUGGCGAGUGGCGAACGGGUGAGUAAUAUAUCGGAACGUACCCUAGAGUGGGGGAUAACGUAGCGAAAGUUACGCUAAUACCGCAUACGAUCUACGGAUGAAAGUGGGGGAUCGCAAGACCUCAUGCUCAUGGAGCGGCCGAUAUCUGAUUAGCUAGUUGGUGGGGUAAAAGCUCACCAAGGCGACGAUCAGUAGCUGGUCUGAGAGGACGACCAGCCACACUGGAACUGAGACACGGUCCAGACUCCUACGGGAGGCAGCAGUGGGGAAUUUUGGACAAUGGGCGCAAGCCUGAUCCAGCAAUGCCGCGUGAGUGAAGAAGGCCUUCGGGUUGUAAAGCUCUUUUGUCAGGGAAGAAACGGUGGACUCUAAUACAGAUCACUAAUGACGGUACCUGAAGAAUAAGCACCGGCUAACUACGUGCCAGCAGCCGCGGUAAUACGUAGGGUGCAAGCGUUAAUCGGAAUUACUGGGCGUAAAGCGUGCGCAGGCGGUUGUGCAAGACAGAUGUGAAAUCCCCGGGCUCAACCUGGGAAUUGCAUUUGUGACUGCACGGCUAGAGUGUGUCAGAGGGGGGUAGAAUUCCACGUGUAGCAGUGAAAUGCGUAGAGAUGUGGAGGAAUACCGAUGGCGAAGGCAGCCCCCUGGGAUAACACUGACGCUCAUGCACGAAAGCGUGGGGAGCAAACAGGAUUAGAUACCCUGGUAGUCCACGCCCUAAACGAUGUCUACUAGUUGUCGGGUCUUAAUUGACUUGGUAACGCAGCUAACGCGUGAAGUAGACCGCCUGGGGAGUACGGUCGCAAGAUUAAAACUCAAAGGAAUUGACGGGGACCCGCACGAGCGGUGGAUGAUGUGGAUUAAUUCGAUGCAACGCGAAAAACCUUACCUACCCUUGACAUGUCUGGAAUCCUUGAGAGAUCAGGGAGUGCUCGAAAGAGAAUCAGAACACAGGUGCUGCAUGGCUGUCGUCAGCUCGUGUCGUGAGAUGUUGGGUUAAGUCCCGCAACGAGCGCAACCCUUGUCAUUAGUUGCUACGAAAGGGCACUCUAAUGAGACUGCCGGUGACAAACCGGAGGAAGGUGGGGAUGACGUCAAGUCCUCAUGGCCCUUAUGGGUAGGGCUUCACACGUCAUACAAUGGUACAUACAGAGGGCCGCCAACCCGCGAGGGGGAGCUAAUCCCAGAAAGUGUAUCGUAGUCCGGAUUGUAGUCUGCAACUCGACUACAUGAAGUUGGAAUCGCUAGUAAUCGCGGAUCAGCAUGUCGCGGUGAAUACGUUCCCGGGUCUUGUACACACCGCCCGUCACACCAUGGGAGCGGGUUUCACCAGAAGUGGGUAGCCUAACCGCAAGGAGGGCGCUCACCACGGUGGGAUUCGUGACUGGGGUGAAGUCGUAACAAGGUA